UGGUCAUAUGCCCAAUUGGACCA
Molecule: small nuclear RNA, 23 nt
Filed under: Arabidopsis thaliana (thale cress)
Lineage: Eukaryota; Viridiplantae; Streptophyta; Magnoliopsida; Brassicales; Brassicaceae
Description: snRNA_08021
Source: RNAcentral